Molecule: ribosomal RNA, 372 nt
Filed under: uncultured organism
Description: partial 16S ribosomal RNA
Rfam family: Bacterial small subunit ribosomal RNA
Source: RNAcentral
GUAGGUGGCAAGCGUUGUCCGGAAUUAUUGGGCGUAAAGCGCGCGCAGGCGGUUCUUUAAGUCUGAUGUGAAAGCCCACGGCUCAACCGUGGAGGGUCAUUGGAAACUGGAGAACUUGAGUACAGAAGAGGAAAGCGGAAUUCCACGUGUAGCGGUGAAAUGCGUAGAGAUGUGGAGGAACACCAGUGGCGAAGGCGGCUUUCUGGUCUGUAACUGACGCUGAGGCGCGAAAGCGUGGGGAGCAAACAGGAUUAGAUACCCUGGUAGUCCACGCCGUAAACGAUGAGUGCUAAUGUUAGGGGGUUUCCGCCCCCCUUAGUGCUGCAGCUAACGCAUUAAGCACUCCGCCCUGGGAGUACGGCCGCAAGGCUG